This 534-nucleotide ribosomal RNA is filed under the name Alternaria alternata. Its description in RNAcentral is "eukaryotic LSU rRNA". The stretch from base 158 to 311 matches the Rfam family "5.8S ribosomal RNA". The record is from RNAcentral. Lineage: Eukaryota; Fungi; Ascomycota; Dothideomycetes; Pleosporales; Pleosporaceae.
UAUGAGGCGGGCUGGACCUCUCGGGGUUACAGCCUUGCUGAAUUAUUCACCCUUGUCUUUUGCGUACUUCUUGUUUCCUUGGUGGGUUCGCCCACCACUAGGACAAACAUAAACCUUUUGUAAUUGCAAUCAGCGUCAGUAACAAAUUAAUAAUUACAACUUUCAACAACGGAUCUCUUGGUUCUGGCAUCGAUGAAGAACGCAGCGAAAUGCGAUAAGUAGUGUGAAUUGCAGAAUUCAGUGAAUCAUCGAAUCUUUGAACGCACAUUGCGCCCUUUGGUAUUCCAAAGGGCAUGCCUGUUCGAGCGUCAUUUGUACCCUCAAGCUUUGCUUGGUGUUGGGCGUCUUGUCUCUAGCUUUGCUGGAGACUCGCCUUAAAGUAAUUGGCAGCCGGCCUACUGGUUUCGGAGCGCAGCACAAGUCGCACUCUCUAUCAGCAAAGGUCUAGCAUCCAUUAAGCCUUUUUUUCAACUUUUGACCUCGGAUCAGGUAGGGAUACCCGCUGAACUUAAGCAUAUCAAUAAGCGGAGGAAA